AUGCCCCGCCCCUCACGCAGCGUGCCGUCGGUUGGGUGGGAAGUGAGACCAACUCAGAAAUGGAGCAAUAGAGGCAGGGAGUGGUUUUGGCCUCCCUUCCAGGCUGUAGUCAGUCGAAAGACGGCUCUGGGGUUUCUUUGGCCUGUCGGGACGAACUUACAGAACUUUUGCCCUUCAACAAGCCCCACUGUACCCUUGUAACUGCCCCCAAGCCAAGGAACAUGAUCCACCCCUACCCGCCCCCCCCCCCCACCCCGGGAGCCCCAUGGCUCCUGUCCUGUUCUGUCAUCUCCACCCUAUGAGGGUGGCCAGCGUCUGGAGUUUAGCCCAAUGGACUCUUGCUGUGUUGCCUAGGCUGGAGUGCAGUGGCACCAUGUCGACUCACUGCAACCUCCGCCUCCCCGGGUCAAGCGAUUCUCCUGCCUCAGCUUCCUGAGUAGCUGGGAUUACAGGUGAGCACCACCAUGCCCAGCUAAUCGUAAAAGACUUUUCAUAAAACUUCAGAACUCCUUAAAAACUAGUGAAUAGCCAAGGUGAAGAAAGGCCUCAGGCUUCUGACUUUAGACCCCAAUCCCUG
This 577-nucleotide non-coding RNA is filed under the name Pan troglodytes (chimpanzee). The record is from RNAcentral. Lineage: Eukaryota; Metazoa; Chordata; Mammalia; Primates; Hominidae.